This 2904-nucleotide ribosomal RNA is filed under the name Escherichia coli. RNAcentral describes it as "23S ribosomal RNA". It matches the Rfam family "Bacterial large subunit ribosomal RNA". Lineage: Bacteria; Pseudomonadati; Pseudomonadota; Gammaproteobacteria; Enterobacterales; Enterobacteriaceae. The record is from RNAcentral.
UUAAGCGACUAAGCGUACACGGUGGAUGCCCUGGCAGUCAGAGGCGAUGAAGGACGUGCUAAUCUGCGAUAAGCGUCGGUAAGGUGAUAUGAACCGUUAUAACCGGCGAUUUCCGAAUGGGGAAACCCAGUGUGUUUCGACACACUAUCAUUAACUGAAUCCAUAGGUUAAUGAGGCGAACCGGGGGAACUGAAACAUCUAAGUACCCCGAGGAAAAGAAAUCAACCGAGAUUCCCCCCAGUAGCGGCGAGCGAACGGGGAGCAGCCCAGAGCCUGAAUCAGUGUGUGUGUUAGUGGAAGCGUCUGGAAAGGCGCGCGAUACAGGGUGACAGCCCCGUACACAAAAAUGCACAUGCUGUGAGCUCGAUGAGUAGGGCGGGACACGUGGUAUCCUGUCUGAAUAUGGGGGGGACCAUCCUCCAAGGCUAAAUACUCCUGACUGACCGAUAGUGAACCAGUACCGUGAGGGAAAGGCGAAAAGAACCCCGGCGAGGGGAGUGAAAAAGAACCUGAAACCGUGUACGUACAAGCAGUGGGAGCCUCUUUUAUGGGGUGACUGCGUACCUUUUGUAUAAUGGGUCAGCGACUUAUAUUCUGUAGCAAGGUUAACCGAAUAGGGGAGCCGAAGGGAAACCGAGUCUUAACUGGGCGUUAAGUUGCAGGGUAUAGACCCGAAACCCGGUGAUCUAGCCAUGGGCAGGUUGAAGGUUGGGUAACACUAACUGGAGGACCGAACCGACUAAUGUUGAAAAAUUAGCGGAUGACUUGUGGCUGGGGGUGAAAGGCCAAUCAAACCGGGAGAUAGCUGGUUCUCCCCGAAAGCUAUUUAGGUAGCGCCUCGUGAAUUCAUCUCCGGGGGUAGAGCACUGUUUCGGCAAGGGGGUCAUCCCGACUUACCAACCCGAUGCAAACUGCGAAUACCGGAGAAUGUUAUCACGGGAGACACACGGCGGGUGCUAACGUCCGUCGUGAAGAGGGAAACAACCCAGACCGCCAGCUAAGGUCCCAAAGUCAUGGUUAAGUGGGAAACGAUGUGGGAAGGCCCAGACAGCCAGGAUGUUGGCUUAGAAGCAGCCAUCAUUUAAAGAAAGCGUAAUAGCUCACUGGUCGAGUCGGCCUGCGCGGAAGAUGUAACGGGGCUAAACCAUGCACCGAAGCUGCGGCAGCGACGCUUAUGCGUUGUUGGGUAGGGGAGCGUUCUGUAAGCCUGUGAAGGUGUGCUGUGAGGCAUGCUGGAGGUAUCAGAAGUGCGAAUGCUGACAUAAGUAACGAUAAAGCGGGUGAAAAGCCCGCUCGCCGGAAGACCAAGGGUUCCUGUCCAACGUUAAUCGGGGCAGGGUGAGUCGACCCCUAAGGCGAGGCCGAAAGGCGUAGUCGAUGGGAAACAGGUUAAUAUUCCUGUACUUGGUGUUACUGCGAAGGGGGGACGGAGAAGGCUAUGUUGGCCGGGCGACGGUUGUCCCGGUUUAAGCGUGUAGGCUGGUUUUCCAGGCAAAUCCGGAAAAUCAAGGCUGAGGCGUGAUGACGAGGCACUACGGUGCUGAAGCAACAAAUGCCCUGCUUCCAGGAAAAGCCUCUAAGCAUCAGGUAACAUCAAAUCGUACCCCAAACCGACACAGGUGGUCAGGUAGAGAAUACCAAGGCGCUUGAGAGAACUCGGGUGAAGGAACUAGGCAAAAUGGUGCCGUAACUUCGGGAGAAGGCACGCUGAUAUGUAGGUGAAGCGACUUGCUCGUGGAGCUGAAAUCAGUCGAAGAUACCAGCUGGCUGCAACUGUUUAUUAAAAACACAGCACUGUGCAAACACGAAAGUGGACGUAUACGGUGUGACGCCUGCCCGGUGCCGGAAGGUUAAUUGAUGGGGUCAGCGCAAGCGAAGCUCUUGAUCGAAGCCCCGGUAAACGGCGGCCGUAACUAUAACGGUCCUAAGGUAGCGAAAUUCCUUGUCGGGUAAGUUCCGACCUGCACGAAUGGCGUAAUGAUGGCCAGGCUGUCUCCACCCGAGACUCAGUGAAAUUGAACUCGCUGUGAAGAUGCAGUGUACCCGCGGCAAGACGGAAAGACCCCGUGAACCUUUACUAUAGCUUGACACUGAACAUUGAGCCUUGAUGUGUAGGAUAGGUGGGAGGCUUUGAAGUGUGGACGCCAGUCUGCAUGGAGCCGACCUUGAAAUACCACCCUUUAAUGUUUGAUGUUCUAACGUUGACCCGUAAUCCGGGUUGCGGACAGUGUCUGGUGGGUAGUUUGACUGGGGCGGUCUCCUCCUAAAGAGUAACGGAGGAGCACGAAGGUUGGCUAAUCUUGGUCGGACAUCAGGAGGUUAGUGCAAUGGCAUAAGCCAGCUUGACUGCGAGCGUGACGGCGCGAGCAGGUGCGAAAGCAGGUCAUAGUGAUCCGGUGGUUCUGAAUGGAAGGGCCAUCGCUCAACGGAUAAAAGGUACUCCGGGGAUAACAGGCUGAUACCGCCCAAGAGUUCAUAUCGACGGCGGUGUUUGGCACCUCGAUGUCGGCUCAUCACAUCCUGGGGCUGAAGUAGGUCCCAAGGGUAUGGCUGUUCGCCAUUUAAAGUGGUACGCGAGCUGGGUUUAGAACGUCGUGAGACAGUUCGGUCCCUAUCUGCCGUGGGCGCUGGAGAACUGAGGGGGGCUGCUCCUAGUACGAGAGGACCGGAGUGGACGCAUCACUGGUGUUCGGGUUGUCAUGCCAAUGGCACUGCCCGGUAGCUAAAUGCGGAAGAGAUAAGUGCUGAAAGCAUCUAAGCACGAAACUUGCCCCGAGAUGAGUUCUCCCUGACCCUUUAAGGGUCCUGAAGGAACGUUGAAGACGACGACGUUGAUAGGCCGGGUGUGUAAGCGCAGCGAUGCGUUGAGCUAACCGGUACUAAUGAACCGUGAGGCUUAACCUU